This 202-nucleotide ribosomal RNA is filed under the name uncultured bacterium. Its description in RNAcentral is "partial 16S ribosomal RNA". It matches the Rfam family "Bacterial small subunit ribosomal RNA", at positions 1300 to 1500 of the family's 1533-position model. The record is from RNAcentral.
GCAGUCUGCAACUCGACUGCAUGAAGCUGGAAUCGCUAGUAAUCGCGAAUCAGCAUGUCGCGGUGAAUACGUUCCCGGGUCUUGUACACACCGCCCGUCACACCAUGGGAGUCGGAAAUGCCCGAAGCCAGUGACCCAACCUUUAAGGAGGGAGCUGUCGAAGGCAGGUCUGGUAACUGGGGUGAAGUCGUAACAAGGUAUC